RNAcentral lists this ribosomal RNA (273 nucleotides) under uncultured bacterium. RNAcentral describes it as "partial 16S ribosomal RNA". It matches the Rfam family "Bacterial small subunit ribosomal RNA", at positions 523 to 796 of the family's 1533-position model. The record is from RNAcentral.
AUACGUAUGGGACAAGCGUUAUCCGGAAUUAUUGGGCGUAAAGAGUUCGUAGGCGGUCCUUUAAGUCAGAAGUGAAAGGCAGUGGCUCAACCAUUGUAAGCUUUUGAAACUGGGGGACUUGAGUGUUGGAGAGGAAAGCGGAAUUCCUAGUGUAGCGGUGAAAUGCGUAGAUAUUAGGAGGAACACCAGUGGCGAAGGCGGCUUUCUGGACAAAUACUGACGCUGAGGAACGAAAGCGUGGGGAGCGAACAGGAUUAGAUACCCUGGUAGUCC